Molecule: long non-coding RNA, 231 nt
Filed under: Gossypium barbadense (sea-island cotton)
Lineage: Eukaryota; Viridiplantae; Streptophyta; Magnoliopsida; Malvales; Malvaceae
Description: long non-coding RNA (GBAR_LNC014645)
Source: RNAcentral
GGUUAUUGGUUUGUUGGUUCAGUUGUUGUCGGCUAGACUUGGUGUAGCGACGGGGAGACACUUAGCUGAGCUUUGUAGGGAAGAGUAUCCGACUUGGGCUAGGAUGGUUUUGUGGGUAAUGGCGGAGUUGGCUUUAAUUGGAGCUGAUAUACAAGAAGUUAUUGGAAGUGCUAUUGCUAUUAAGAUUUUGAGUAAUGGUGCUUUACCUUUAUGGGCUGGUGUUAUUAUUAC